UACCGCCUACGGGGGGCAGCAGUGGGGAAUAUUGCACAAUGGGCGAAAGCCUGAUGCAGCGACGCCGCGUGAGUGAAGAAGUAUUUCGGUAUGUAAAGCUCUAUCAGCAGGGAAGAAAAUGACGGUACCUGACUAAGAAGCCCCGGCUAACUACGUGCCAGCAGCCGCGGUAAUACGUAGGGGGCAAGCGUUAUCCGGAUUUAUUGGGUUUAAAGGGUGCGCAGGCGGUCUGUUAAGUCAGCGGUCAAAGCCCGGGGCUCAACCCCGGCCCGCCGUUGAAACUGGCAGUCUCGAGUUGGAGAGAA
RNAcentral lists this ribosomal RNA (305 nucleotides) under uncultured bacterium. Its description in RNAcentral is "bacterial SSU rRNA". It matches the Rfam family "Bacterial small subunit ribosomal RNA", at positions 333 to 656 of the family's 1533-position model. The record is from RNAcentral.